Molecule: small nuclear RNA, 299 nt
Filed under: Jaculus jaculus (lesser Egyptian jerboa)
Lineage: Eukaryota; Metazoa; Chordata; Mammalia; Rodentia; Dipodidae
Description: 7SK RNA (ENSJJAG00000002897.1)
Rfam family: 7SK RNA
About the family: 7SK was discovered as an abundant small nuclear RNA in the mid-70s but a possible function has only recently been suggested. Two independent studies have found that 7SK RNA binds the CDK9/cyclin T complex (known as elongation factor P-TEFb). P-TEFb activates transcription by phosphorylating the C-terminal domain of RNA polymerase II.
Source: RNAcentral
GGUUGUGAGGGCAAUCUGGCUGCACCCUCAACCUAUUGAUACCAGUGUUGAUUUGACUGAUCCGUCUGGUUAGGGGAGUUCCCCUUCCUCCCUCACUGUUUCAUAAGUAUCUCUCCUGAAGCUGCUGGCUUGUUCAAUGAGGACAACCUUCCCUAAAUAGAGGAGGACCAGUCCCCAGUACAAGGUAUAUGCACGCCUCUGACAGAACCUCCAAGCAAGCUCUCAGAGGAGAACAAGGUUCACUAGUAACUAGGCCAGGGAAUAUUCAUGUGAUAUUCUUGCAAAGGACCUGGCUACAU